GAUGAACGCUAGCUACAGGCUUAACACAUGCAAGUCGAGGGGAAACGACAUCGAAAGCUUGCUUUUGAUGGGCGUCGACCGGCGCACGGGUGAGUAACGCGUAUCCAACCUGCCCAUCACUUGGGAAUAACCUUGCGAAAGUAAGACUAAUACCCAAUGAUAUCCCACGAAGGCAUCGGAAUGGGAUUAAAGAUUUAUCGGUGAUGGAUGGGGAUGCGUCUGAUUAGCUUGUUGGCGGGGUAACGGCCCACCAAGGCAACGAUCAGUAGGGGUUCUGAGAGGAAGCUCCCCCAAAUUGGAACUGAGACCCGGUCCAAACUCCUACGGGAGGCAGCAGUGAGGAAUAUUGGUCAAUGGGCGAGAGCCUGAACCAGCCAAGUAGCGUGCAGGAAGACGGCCCUAUGGGUUGUAAACUGCUUUUAUAAGGGAAUAAAGUGGGUCACGUGUGACUUUUUGCAUGUACCGUAUGAAUAAGGACCGGCUAAUUCCGUG
RNAcentral lists this ribosomal RNA (492 nucleotides) under uncultured bacterium. Its description in RNAcentral is "partial 16S ribosomal RNA". It matches the Rfam family "Bacterial small subunit ribosomal RNA", at positions 28 to 507 of the family's 1533-position model. The record is from RNAcentral.